UGUAAUUUUAAUCAAAUCCAAUUCCAAAGGCGUUCUGAACUUCUGCGACUGCAAGCCAAAGGUGAAACCGAACUAACCGUAACGCGUUCUCCAUUAGGACAGACGAGACGGCGGACUCACUGGCGAGUUUUGGUUCCAGUCACCGGCUCACCGCCUCUUUUCUCGUACUACCGGUGCUCCUGUUUGGCCUCCGUUCCGCGGCUGCUGACGUUUCCACAUAAACAAACUGCCGCCGACUCGACUCCACCUUCGCAUUUCUCCGGCGUUUCUCCGAUGUUUCUCCGGCGAUCCUCUAGCAAUCUUGUAGCGCUCGGCGACUUCAAGUUAACAGACUCGACGAUGCCCUGGGUGCAAUGAGGUUGCAGGAUGGCAGGAUUAAAGUGUAUAUACAUGUUGCUGAUCCAACUAGACAUGUUCAGCCUGGGAGUAUGUUUGACAAGGAUGCAAUGAAAAGAGGAACUUCUGUUUGCCUGCCCACUGCCACUUAUCCCAUGUAUUCAGAGAAACUUGCCAUGCAGGGAAUGAGAGUGAACUCAGGCUCCUUUCAGAGGCAGCAGCUCUCAGGUUACAAUGGCGCCAGGGACAGGUUGGCUUUAUUUAUAUGUCACCAUGGACAAGCUGACCCUGCAAUGUGACUUGUUUCCGAGAUGAUGAUUCUCUGCAGGGAAACUGUAGCCACUUUUGGUUCAUGUAAUAACAUUCCUUCACCGUACACAGGACAGCCUCAAUCAAAUAUUUAUGUAUCUGCAUUUGCACAUCUUCCAGCAGGUCCUGUCAGGAGCUCUGCCAAAAUAAUCCGAGCUGCUGAAAUUGAUUUCAGGAAACCAACAUGACAGUAGUUCUGGGGCUUCCUGGUUAUGUUCAGUUCACAUCUCCAAUUUGUAGUUAUAUGGACCUUCUUGCUCAUUAUCAGAUCAAAGCAUCUCUUAAAGGUGAAUCUCCUCUUUUCUCUUCUUGCCAGCUUGAAGGGAUGGCAUCUAUAGUGAACAUGCAUACUAGAAUGGCAAGGAAGCUCAGCAGCAGAAGUCUUCGGUAUUGGAUAAUUGAAUUGCUGAGAAGGCAACCGAAAGAUAAACGAUACUGUGCAUUGUUCCUUAGCACUUGCAGUUUAUUCAUUGUCUUGUGACAACAAAUUUUGUUGAACCAUGAAGUCUUCUGUUGCCUCAUUCAUUGAAACUAGACAUAUGACAUCUCCGAGAAGAUGUAUCGAGAAGCAUUGAUUAUUCUUUAGAAGAUUUACUUCCCUGGCUGUAUCUGUCACAAGCUUACACUGUCUCAGAUUGCUCGAUGUCCAACCAUGCGAUCGAAAGCAAAAAUUGCUAUAAGGCCCAAUAUUUGGUUGAAAUGGUUUGGUAAUGCAUCAUCUGAAACAGAAAGAUGUUUGUUGGCAAUCUUGUCUUUGGUAUAGAGAGCAUGAAUCAUUAUCAUUACACCUGGAAAUAGGAAACUGAGAAAAAGGUUGAACUUGUGAGGACAAGAGGUUUGGGCCUUGAUGGCUAUUAGGCCGGUGUAGCAGAUCAUUAUAUGGGCCAAAUUUGGGCCUUCCGAUUCGUUAAUGAGAAGAUGGAAGAUGCAUGUGAUAGUUUGAAUUGUUGCAUUUGUAAUUAGGGUUGGCCGAUUUGAAUUAUUUGAGUUCGAAUUAUUGUUUGGCUUAAAUGAAGUUAUAUUAAUAAUUCAAUAAAAUUAUUUAUACAUUUUUU
Molecule: long non-coding RNA, 1700 nt
Organism: Mangifera indica (mango)
Lineage: Eukaryota; Viridiplantae; Streptophyta; Magnoliopsida; Sapindales; Anacardiaceae
Exons: 5
Source: RefSeq, a predicted model, not a curated record